UUAAGUCCCGUAACGAGCGCAACCCUUGUCCUUAGUUACCAGCACGUUAUGUGGGCACUCUAAGGAGACUGCCGGUGACAAACCGGAGGAAGUGGGGAUGACGUCAAGUCAUCAUGGCCCUUACGGCCUGGGCUACACACGUGCUACAAUGGUCGGUACAAAGGGUUGCCAAGCCGCGAGGUGGAGCUAAUCCCAUAAAACCGAUCGUAGUCCGGAUCGCAGUCUGCAACUCGACUGCGUGAAGUCGGAAUCGCUAGUAAUCGUGAAUCAGAAUGUCACGGUGAAUACGUUCCCGGGCCUU
Molecule: ribosomal RNA, 301 nt
Filed under: uncultured Pseudomonas sp.
Lineage: Bacteria; Pseudomonadati; Pseudomonadota; Gammaproteobacteria; Pseudomonadales; Pseudomonadaceae
Description: bacterial SSU rRNA
Rfam family: Bacterial small subunit ribosomal RNA
Source: RNAcentral